GAUGAACGCUAGCUACAGGCUUAACACAUGCAAGGCGAGGGGAAAGGAUAUUGGAAGCUUGCUUCCGAUAGGCGUUGACCGGCGCACGGGUGAGUAACGCGUAUCCAACCUGCCCACCACUUGGGGCUAACCUUGCGAAAGUAAGACUAAUACCCAAUAACUUCUCUAGUAGACAGAUGAAAGAGAGUAAAGAUUUAUCGGUGAGGUAUGGGGAUGCGUCUGAUUAGCUCUGUGGCGGGGUAACGGCCCACCAAGGCGAAACGCAGUAGGGGUUCUGAGAGCAAGGUCCCCCACAUUGGAACUGAGACACGGUCCAAACUCCUACGGGAGGCAGCAGUGAGGAACAUUGGUCAAUGGGCGAGAGCCUGAACCAGCCAAGUAGCGUGCAGGAUGACGGCCCUAUGUGUUGUAAACUGCUUUUAUAAGGGAAUAAAGUGAGUCUCGUGAGACUUUUUGCAUGUACCUUAUGAAUAAGGACCGGCUAAUUCCGUGCCAGCCGCCGCGGUAA
This 508-nucleotide ribosomal RNA is filed under the name uncultured bacterium. RNAcentral describes it as "partial 16S ribosomal RNA". It matches the Rfam family "Bacterial small subunit ribosomal RNA", at positions 28 to 523 of the family's 1533-position model. The record is from RNAcentral.